CGCGGCGGCUGGCGUCGGGAAAGUACAGUAAAAAGUCCGAGGGCAGCCGCCGGGCGCAGGAUGGGAUCCGGCUCCUCCAGCUACCGGCCCAAGGCCAUCUACCUGGACAUCGAUGGACGCAUUCAGAAGCUGGUGUCGAGGACAAGAGAACCACAAGCCGUGGCCAGUCUGCUGAGAGACCACUGAGGGACAGACGGGUUGUGGGCCUGGAGCAGCCCCGGAGGGAAGGAGCAUUUGAAAGUGGACAGGUAGAGCCCAGGCCCAGAGAGCCCCAGGGCUGCUGCCAGGAAGGCCAGCGCAUCCCUCCAGAGAGAGAAGAAUUAAUCCAGAGCGUGCUGGCGCAGGUUGCAGAGCAGUUCUCAAGAGCAUUCAAAAUCAAUGAACUGAAAGCUGAAGUUGCAAAUCACUUGGCUGUCCUAGAGAAACGCGUGGAAUUGGAAGGACUAAAAGUGGUGGAGAUUGAGAAAUGCAAGAGUGACAUUAAGAAGAUGAGGGAGGAGCUGGCGGCCAGAAGCAGCAGGACCAACUGCCCCUGUAAGUACAGUUUUUUGGAUAACCACAAGAAGUUGACUCCUCGACGCGAUGUUCCCACUUACCCCAAGUACCUGCUCUCUCCAGAGACCAUCGAGGCCCUGCGGAAGCCGACCUUUGACGUCUGGCUUUGGGAGCCCAAUGAGAUGCUGAGCUGCCUGGAGCACAUGUACCACGACCUCGGGCUGGUCAGGGACUUCAGCAUCAACCCUGUCACCCUCAGGAGGUGGCUGUUCUGCGUCCACGACAACUACAGAAACAACCCCUUCCACAACUUCCGGCACUGCUUCUGCGUGGCCCAGAUGAUGUACAGCAUGGUGUGGCUCUGCAGUCUCCAGGAGAACUUCUCACAAAUGGAUAUCCUGAUCCUAAUGACAGCGGCCAUCUGCCACGAUCUGGACCAUCCCGGCUACAACAACACGUACCAGAUCAAUGCCCGCACAGAGCUGGCGGUCCGCUACAAUGACAUCUCACCGCUGGAGAACCACCACUGCGCCGUGGCCUUCCAGAUCCUCGCCGAGCCUGAGUGCAACAUCUUCUCCAACAUCCCACCUGAUGGGUUCAAGCAGAUCCGACAGGGAAUGAUCACAUUAAUCUUGGCCACUGACAUGGCAAGACAUGCAGAAAUUAUGGAUUCUUUCAAAGAGAAAAUGGAGAAUUUUGACUACAGCAACGAGGAGCACAUGACCCUGCUGAAGAUGAUUUUGAUAAAAUGCUGUGAUAUCUCUAACGAGGUCCGUCCAAUGGAAGUCGCAGAGCCUUGGGUGGACUGUUUAUUAGAGGAAUAUUUUAUGCAGAGCGACCGUGAGAAGUCAGAAGGCCUUCCCGUGGCCCCGUUCAUGGACCGAGACAAAGUGACCAAGGCCACAGCCCAGAUUGGGUUCAUCAAGUUUGUCCUGAUCCCAAUGUUUGAAACAGUGACCAAGCUCUUCCCCAUGGUUGAGGAGAUCAUGCUGCAGCCACUUUGGGAAUCCCGAGAUCGCUACGAGGAACUGAAGCGGAUAGAUGAUGCCAUGAAAGAGUUACAGAAGAAGACUGACAGCUUGACGUCUGGGGCCACCGAGAAGUCCAGAGAGAGAAGCAGAGAUGUGAAAAACAGUGAAGGAGACUGUGCCUGAGGAAAGCGGGGGGCGUGGCUGCGGUUCUGGACAGGCUGGCCGAGCUGCGCGGGAUCCUUGUGCAGGGAAGAGCUGCCCUGGGCACCUGGCACCACAAAACCACGUUUUCUAAGAACCAUUUUGUUCACUGAUACAAAAAAAAAAAAAAGGAAUUCAUGAUGCUGUACAGAAUUUUAUUUUUAAACUGUCUUUUAAAUAAUAUAUUCUUAUACGGAAA
RNAcentral lists this small RNA (1866 nucleotides) under Pan troglodytes (chimpanzee). RNAcentral describes it as "processed transcript". Lineage: Eukaryota; Metazoa; Chordata; Mammalia; Primates; Hominidae. The record is from RNAcentral.